RNAcentral lists this ribosomal RNA (496 nucleotides) under uncultured bacterium. Its description in RNAcentral is "partial 16S ribosomal RNA". It matches the Rfam family "Bacterial small subunit ribosomal RNA", at positions 29 to 507 of the family's 1533-position model. The record is from RNAcentral.
AUGAACGCUGGCGGCGUGCCUAAUACAUGCAAGUCGAGCGAACGGACGAGAAGCUUGCUUUUCUGAUGUUAGCGGCGGACGGGUGAGUAACACGUGGAUAACCUACCUAUAAGACUGGGAUAACUUCGGGAAACCGGAGCUGAUACCGGAUAAUAUUUUGAACCGCAUGGUUCAAAAGUGAAAGACGGUCUUGCUGUCACUUAUAGAUGGAUCCGCGCUGCAUUAGCUAGUUGGUAAGGUAACGGCUUACCAAGGCAACGAUGCAUAGCCGACCUGAGAGGGUGAUCGGCCACACUGGAACUGAGACACGGUCCAGACUCCUACGGGAGGCAGCAGUAGGGAAUCUUCCGCAAUGGGCGAAAGCCUGACGGAGCAACGCCGCGUGAGUGAUGAAGGUCUUCGGAUCGUAAAACUCUGUUAUUAGGGAAGAACAUAUGUGUAAGUAACUGUGCACAUCUUGACGGUACCUAAUCAGAAAGCCACGGCUAACUACGUG